CCCAUUUUAUACGGUACUUGUAAUUCUGUCACACGUAAUAUUUCCUAGUCUCCUAAUUCCCACAGUGACACUCUGUGUACAUUAAAUGGAUAUUAACAGAUAAAAGUUUCUCACCCAUUUAGACAGGCCAUAUUAGAGCUGCAAGAUGAAAACACCAGUUGGCUAACUGCAAUUUUUUUUCUCACCUCACCCCAUUACCUCAGUCAAUAUCUAAUCAUCCUCUUCCUCCUUCUGAUGUUUCUAUUGAUUCUCCAGACAAGUUUUACCAUGCUCCUUAGCAUGUGUAUUAAUGAUCUACUGCUUUCUUUCUUUCUGUCUGUUUCACAUGCAAACAUCUGCCGUGCUGCUGGGUCAAAGACACUUUGUAAAGGGAUUCCCUUGGGAGAAGCUUGCUUCUGAGUGUCAGAGGAAAAAGUCACUCUCUUUCAACACGUGAGUGGGCGGCAACAAAAGAAAAGCUACAGGCCGCUCUCAUCCCUGAGUGUGUCCCUGGUGAUCUAAAUGCGUCCCCGUUUUGGUAAGUAAGAAAUAUGUUUCAUACAACGACUAUUGUAAACCGUUGCCUCUUCUCACACUCAGAUUACAGGACUGCAUCGGUUUUAACAACCAUAGGUGUAAAGGAUUAGCUUGUUGCAACAGAUCAUCUGGCUUGUCUAUGCACCUUAAAUUUUCCCAUAUAAUCUUUUAUGAUCAUAGAUUAGGUUUACAAUGAGUAAGUGUCAUAUUUUUUGUUGCAUCAUCCAGAUGCAGUAUCCUGAAGUGAAUCAGGGUUUUCAAGGUACACCAGUAUUUUCUGAAGGGUUAGGAUGUAUGAUUUUUCCAUCAGUCGACUGUUUUUUGUAGCAAUGGUUAAUACAGUAUUAAACAAGAUUAGAAGAAUUUGAUUAAUAAAAAAAGGUAGGGUAAUAUAAUCUUGUAGUUUUAUAUAGUAAUAAUUAUAAAACUACAAAUAGAAUAGUG
Molecule: long non-coding RNA, 960 nt
Filed under: Oreochromis niloticus (Nile tilapia)
Lineage: Eukaryota; Metazoa; Chordata; Actinopteri; Cichliformes; Cichlidae
Description: lncRNA (ENSONIG00000042095.1)
Source: RNAcentral